UACGAAGGGGGCUAGCGUUGCUCGGAAUCACUGGGCGUAAAGGGUGCGUAGGCGGGUCUUUAAGUCAGAGGUGAAAUCCUGGGGCUCAACUCCAGAACUGCCUUUGAUACUGAAAGUCUUGAGUAUGGGAGAGGUGAGUGGAACUGCGAGUGUAGAGGUGAAAUUCGUAGAUAUUCGCAAGAACACCAGUGGCGAAGGCGGCUCACUGGCCCAUAACUGACGCUGAGGCACGAAAGCGUGGGGAGCAAACAGG
RNAcentral lists this ribosomal RNA (253 nucleotides) under uncultured bacterium. RNAcentral's name for it is "partial 16S ribosomal RNA". It matches the Rfam family "Bacterial small subunit ribosomal RNA", at positions 524 to 776 of the family's 1533-position model. The record is from RNAcentral.